UAAAAGGUUUCCCUAGUAGCGGCGAGCGAGCGGGAAGAGCUCAAAUUUAUAAUCUGGCACCUUCGGUGUCCGAGUUGUAAUCUCUAGAAGUGUUUUCCGCGUUGGACCGCACACAAGUCUGUUGGAAUACAGCGGCAUAGUGGUGAAACCCCCGUAUAUGGUGCGGACGCCCAGCGCUUUGUGAUACACUUUCAAUGAGUCGAGUUGUUUGGGAAUGCAGCUCAAAUUGGGUGGUAAAUUCCAUCUAAAGCUAAAUAUUGGCGAGAGACCGAUAGCGAACAAGUACCGUGAGGGAAAGAUGAAAAGCACUUUGGAAAGAGAGUUAACAGUACGUGAAAUUGUUGGAAGGGAAACGCUUGAAGUCAGACUUGCUUGCCGGAGCUUGCUUCGGUUUGCAGGCCAGCAUCAGUUUUCCGGGGUGGAUAAUGACGGUUUGAAGGUAGCAGUCUCGGCUGUGUUAUAGCUUUCCGUUGGAUACAUCCUGGGGGACUGAGGAACGCAGCGUGCUUUUUGCGAAAGACUCGUCUUUUUCACGCUUAGGAUGCUGGUGGAAUGGCUUUAAACGACCCGUCUUGAAACACGGACCA
RNAcentral lists this ribosomal RNA (587 nucleotides) under Rhodotorula glutinis. RNAcentral's name for it is "partial large subunit ribosomal RNA". It matches the Rfam family "Eukaryotic large subunit ribosomal RNA", at positions 67 to 668 of the family's 3401-position model. Lineage: Eukaryota; Fungi; Basidiomycota; Microbotryomycetes; Sporidiobolales; Sporidiobolaceae. The record is from RNAcentral.